ACCCGCUGAAUUUAAGCAUAUUAGUAAGCGGAGGAAAAGAAACUAACCAGGAUUCUCCUAGUAACGGCGAGUGAACGGAGAUUAGCCCAUCACCGAAGUCCGGUGCUAUUGCAUACAGGACAAUGUGGUGUUAAGGCAUGUACCUGGGACUGCGAAUCUACCCGAAGUCCAACUCCGAUUGUGGCUUUGGAUAUUGCCCAAAGCGGGUGAGAGGCCCGUACGGGUAGAUUCUUGUUGUUAUGCAGUCCUCAGAUGUGCGUGCUUUCGAGUCGGAUUGCUUGAGAAUGCAGUCCAAAGUGGGUGGUAAACUCCAUCCAAGGCUAAAUACUGGCACGAGUCCGAUAGUAGACAAGUACCGUGAGGGAAAGUUGAAAAGUACUCUGAAGAGAGAGUAAAUAGCACGUGAAGCCGGUUGCAGGGAAGCUGGUGGAGUCAAGCUUCAUGCUUGAGAAAUUUGUGCAAGUAGUAUUUUGUUGAUGUAUCAUGGCCGAUCAACUUGGAAUAAGUUGGCGCAUCGUGCGCUCAAGUCAUCUGGGUAGUGUGUUGUGCUGGUCAUGAUAAACUGCUGCUUGUACUCUAUUUCUUGUUGCAUAAAUCACGGUCUAUAGCCUUGUGUUGACGUGCUGUAUGAUUGUCUAACUGUGCUACGGCAAGCUUUCAGUUUGUCGGGUACAGGAUGGCAGGUUGAGGCUUCGGUCCUUGUGUCUGUUAGUCUCUUAUAGUGGUUUUGACCAGCUGAUAAUCAUGCAGUAUCGUGGCUAUAGUUGUUUUGUUGAUACACAGUUUAUGAGCUGCGUACCAGUAAGAACCGUGAUUCUGAGGUAGACGUUCCACCCGACCCGUCUUGAAACACGGACCA
This 859-nucleotide ribosomal RNA is filed under the name Euryhaliotrema tubocirrus. Its description in RNAcentral is "partial 28S ribosomal RNA". It matches the Rfam family "Eukaryotic large subunit ribosomal RNA", at positions 23 to 668 of the family's 3401-position model. Lineage: Eukaryota; Metazoa; Platyhelminthes; Monogenea; Dactylogyridea; Ancyrocephalidae. The record is from RNAcentral.